Molecule: ribosomal RNA, 449 nt
Filed under: uncultured bacterium
Lineage: Bacteria
Description: partial 16S ribosomal RNA
Rfam family: Bacterial small subunit ribosomal RNA
Source: RNAcentral
GUCGAGAAUCUUUCACAAUGGGGGCAACCCUGAUGGAGCGACGCCGCGUGGAGGAUAAGGUCUUCGGAUUGUAAACUCCUGUCAUGCGUGAACAAGGUUGCUUGGUUAAUACCUGGGCAAAUUGAUGGUAACGCAAGAGGAAGAGACGGCUAACUCUGUGCCAGCAGCCGCGGUAAUACAGAGGUCUCAAGCGUUGUUCGGAAUCACUGGGCGUAAAGGGUGCGUAGGUGGCGUGGUAAGUCAGAUGUGAAAGCACGGGGCUCAACCUCGGAACUGCAUCCGAUACUGCCAUGCUAGAGUACUGGAGAGGUGACUAGAAUUCUCGGUGUAGCAGUGAAAUGCGUAGAUAUCGAGAGGAAUACCAAAGGCGUAGGCAGGUCACUGGACAGUUACUGACACUGAGGCACGAAGGCCAGGGGAGCGAACGGGAUUAGAUACCCUGGUAGUCC